Molecule: ribosomal RNA, 233 nt
Filed under: uncultured bacterium
Lineage: Bacteria
Description: partial 16S ribosomal RNA
Rfam family: Bacterial small subunit ribosomal RNA
Source: RNAcentral
CGGGACGGGUGAGUAAUGUCUGGGAAACUGCCUGAUGGAGGGGGAUAACUACUGGAAACGGUAGCUAAUACCGCAUAACGUCGCAAGACCAAAGAGGGGGACCUUCGGGCCUCUUGCCAUCGGAUGUGCCCAGAUGGGAUUAGCUAGUAGGCGGGGUAAAGGCUCACCUAGGCGACGAUCCCUAGCUGGUCUGAGAGGAUGACCAGCCACACUGGAACUGAGACACGGUCCAG